RNAcentral lists this ribosomal RNA (963 nucleotides) under Claustula sp. RNAcentral describes it as "partial large subunit ribosomal RNA". It matches the Rfam family "Eukaryotic large subunit ribosomal RNA", at positions 37 to 964 of the family's 3401-position model. Lineage: Eukaryota; Fungi; Basidiomycota; Agaricomycetes; Phallales; Claustulaceae. The record is from RNAcentral.
AGCAUAUCAAUAAGCGGAGGAAAAGAAACUAACCAGGAUUCCCCUAGUAACUGCGAGUGAAGCGGGAAGAGCUCAAAUUUGUAAUCUGGCGGUCUUGCGGCCGUCCGAGUUGUAAUCUGGAGAAGCGCUUUCUGUGCCGGUCCCGUGUACAAGUCCCUUGGAACGGGGCGUCGUAGAGGGUGAGAAUCCCGUUCACGACACGGUGUUGCCGGUGCUCUGUGAUGCGCUCUCGAAGAGUCGAGUUGUUUGGGAAUGCAGCUCAAAACGGGUGGUAAAUUCCAUCUAAAGCUAAAUAUUGGCGAAAGACCGAUAGCGAACAAGUACCGUGAGGGAAAGAUGAAAAGCACUUUGGAAAGAGAGUCAAACAGUACGUGAAAUUGUUGAAAGGGAAACGCUUGAAGUCAGUCGCGUCUCUCGGGACUCAGUCGGGCGCUCGCGCGCUCGACGCAUUUCCCGUUGUCGGACGGGCCAGCAUCGAUUUCGACCUGUCGGAGAAAGGUACGAGGAAUGUGGCACCUCCGGGUGUGUUAUAGCCUCGCAUCGUAUGCGUCGGUCGGGAUCGAGGAACGCAGCGCGCCCCCUCUCGAGGGGGCCGGGGGUCAUCCCACGGUUACGCGCUUUGGAUGCUGGCGUAAUGGCUUUAAACGACCCGUCUUGAAACACGGACCAAGGAGUCUAACAUGCGUGCGAGUGUUUGGGUGGCAAACCCAUGCGCGUAAUGAAAGUGAAAGGUCGGGACCUCUGUCGCGGAGGGCACCGACGCCCGGACCUGAACUACUGUGACGGUUCCGAGGCAGAGCAUGUAUGCUGGGACCCGAAAGAUGGUGAACUAUGCCUGAGCAGGGCGAAGCCAGAGGAAACUCUGGUGGAGGCUCGUAGCGAUUCUGACGUGCAAAUCGAUCGUCGAACUUGGGUAUAGGGGCGAAAGACUAAUCGAACCAUCUAGUAGCUGGUUCCUGCCGA